Molecule: ribosomal RNA, 269 nt
Filed under: uncultured Planctomycetales bacterium
Lineage: Bacteria; Pseudomonadati; Planctomycetota; Planctomycetia; Planctomycetales
Description: partial 16S ribosomal RNA
Rfam family: Bacterial small subunit ribosomal RNA
Source: RNAcentral
GAGCACGUAGGUGGGUUUGUAAGUCAGAUGUGAAAGCCUUCUGUUCAACGGAAGAAUUGCAUCUGAAACUGCGAGUCUUGAGUGUAGGAGGGGAGAAUGGAACUUCUGGUGGAGCGGUGGAAUGCGUAGAUAUCAGAAGGAACUCCGGCGGCGAAAGCGAUUCUCUGGCCUAUUACUGACACUCAGCGUGCGAAAGCUAGGGGAGCAAACGGGAUUAGAUACCCCGGUAGUCCUAGCCGUAAACGAUGGGCACUAAGUAGAGGGGUUUU